Molecule: long non-coding RNA, 663 nt
Filed under: Volvox carteri
Lineage: Eukaryota; Viridiplantae; Chlorophyta; Chlorophyceae; Chlamydomonadales; Volvocaceae
Description: long non-coding RNA (VCAR_LNC002508)
Source: RNAcentral
GGCGCAGGUGCUGCUGCACUCGCCUCCGGCCGUACAGCGCCGCCAGCUGCGGCCGUUGCUGCUGGCGCUGUGCCCCUGGCUAAUGUGCCACGGACACAACGUCCGUACCUACGCACAGCUGUGCAUGUGGGCGCUCCUGCAGCGCUUCCCGCCCGAGGCGCCGCUAUGGGAGCACUCAUUAGGUGGGGUAGGAGGAAGGGGGGUAGAGGGUAGAGAGUAAGGGACGUUUUCGAGCUGUCUUCGGCACACACGGCGGCGCGUGUGUAUGUCUGCGUUUUUCCUGAUGCAGACGGAGGAGGAGGUGGUGGGAGGGCGUGGCUUUGAGUAGAUGACCACUGAACGGGCAGCAGUGGUUCGGGAAGGGCCAUUUGGUGUACCGUGGCCUGAGAGCUAUAGGGCCAUCUGUAGUUCUUCACCUUCAUCUUCAUCCUUCAUCAAUGUCGCUCUGUGUUCCUUGUUUUCAAUCCUCGGCUCACGCCCCUGCUGCUUUACCGUCAUAUCCCCGUGUGUCUGUGUGUGUACGUGCACUUGUAUGUUUAUGCAUGUGUGUAUAUGUGUAUGUGUAUAUGCAUGUAUGUAUUCAUGUAUGUAUGUUCCCACCCAGGGGACCUGAGCUACCUGCGCCACAUGCUUGCCUUCAUGCACUCCAACGUGGACCUCGUG